Molecule: long non-coding RNA, 726 nt
Organism: Puntigrus tetrazona (Sumatra barb)
Lineage: Eukaryota; Metazoa; Chordata; Actinopteri; Cypriniformes; Cyprinidae
Exons: 5
Source: RefSeq, a predicted model, not a curated record
AAAGAAUUCACCUGUAUAUGGAAUAGCUUUACGGCUUCCUAAUUUUUUUUAACAUUAUUUUUCUUUUAUUUAAUUUUUUAAAUUUGAAUGAAGUAAUAUCACAGGCUUCCAUAUACAGGCUCGAUAAUAUCAAUAUUUGUCAACCCUUUGGACACACCAGCACUAAAUUACAGCAAAAUAAAAAUUGGUAACAGCCCAUCCCCACUUUAUUUUCUGACUCUGACAUGGUGGCUCAGUGGUUAGCACUGUGGCCUCACAGCAAGAAGGUCCCUGGACCUUUCUGUGUGGAGUUUGCAUGUUCUCCCCAUGUCAUGCCCAAGACAUGCAGAGAUAUAUUGUAGUGUCAGGCCAUCCCCCAAACUUGGACCCUAAAAGGAUGUAUAAGGAGAGCAACACUGACAACGGUGUGGAGAGGGGUCAAAACCUUGGACCAUAUGAUGAACAGGUGUCUCUUGUUGGUCUGGAGCAAGAAUAUUGUUACAGGCGACACAGUAGUGAAAAGUGAAAGCAUCUGUUUCAAGCGCCUCCAGACUACAAACCGCACUUUUGGGUCAGGAGUUUGUGUCUUGCCGAAGAGAGCCUGAAACCCCCUGCACCUUACACCAUCCUUCAGCGUCAUGUUGAACCAUCUCCAGACGACAUCCUUUUGGAUCAAACCCCCACCUAGAUCUCCCCUCAUAAAUUAUAAAAUGUUGGAAUUCUAAAUAAAUUCUUAAGGUCUUCCCA